CCUGGUCUCAGCAGGAAUAAAGAAGGAGUGGGCAGGAGUGGAGAUGUGGAAAGGGAGAGAGAGUGUCCAAAAAAAUGCUAGGGAAUCUAAAGCAAAUCUCAAUUUGUGGUUUUGCUGAGGCCCACACCUGCACAGUAUAAAGAUUGCUCUACAAGCUGCAUCAGCCACUGGUUUCUGAUUUGGGGGGGGCGGGGGUUGCGAGUCUCCCUCUGAGCCCAGCCAGGCAGUGGAGGAAAUGAAGAGGCUCUUAAGGGAGGGGCAAGGGAGAGAGGAUGGGGCAGGGCGGGGAGCAGCCACUGUGAGAGCAGCUGCCUCUUCAAGAGGGAAGGCUCUUCCCGCUGUUGACGCUGUUCCUCCAGAAGUCAGGCUUCCGUGGUAGAAUGAGAAAGGUGGAGAAGAGGGAUUUCAGUUCCCUGGGGCGCUGUGUCUGUUAGCUGCCGGUAAAUACCUCUGAGAGACUCUGUUUCCAGCUAAAGGAGACCACCUGUCCUACAACUCUCAGGAUCAGGCACAGGAACUGUCUGGGUGGACCCUCUGGCAAAAUGAAUUGGACCAACUCUAAGUUCCAGAACUCCAGAGCCAGUAGCAAUGCUUUCCUGGAUGACCCCACACCACUGCCCUGCUCUGAGAAUUUCACUACCCUGAAGCCAGAGACUAAACCUGAUGAACUCAGCAGCUUAGGCACAGCAGCUACAGCCAUUUCUGGCUCUGUUGGUGUUGUGGCUCUCAUCUUGCUCCUGGUGGGUCUCUUGUCCAUGACCCUGAAGAAAUGGAGACAUGAGAGACUAUUUAAGAAACAAUUGAGGCACCAGACCAACUUUCUCCAUAGAACUUCGGAGCUUUCCUGCCAUGCUGAUGCCAUAUAUUCGAAUGUGAUCAACCUGGCUUCCUGGAAAGAGGAUGACUUCGCUGUCUAUGCCAACGUGCCCCCUUUCAAUCGCCCUAGGAAGACAUCACCAGACCAAGUGGAAUAUGCCUCCAUUGUAUUCCACUGAUGGGAAGCCAAUGAGAUGCUUCAGAUGGAAAGUCAGACCUAUGCCCCAGCUGGAUCCUGAGCUGGCUUGUGCUUUAGAUGGGUGGUGUGGGUGUGUGGGUGUGUCUAUUUAGAAAAAUGCAUAAAACAUAUCCUAAUGGUGGUAAAUGGCUGGGUAUUUCUUCUGAUUUAUUGGAAACAAAGUACAGUUCUAAUGGAAAGGAGUGGCAUAGGAGAGACAAGGACACGCUGAUCCAAGCCAUCCCAGCCCCAGAAGCAGGUUCCUGAGACAGACUGGCCAAC
RNAcentral lists this long non-coding RNA (1276 nucleotides) under Vulpes vulpes (red fox). Its description in RNAcentral is "lncRNA (ENSVVUG00000013574.1)". Lineage: Eukaryota; Metazoa; Chordata; Mammalia; Carnivora; Canidae. The record is from RNAcentral.